GAUGAACGCUGGCGGCGUGCCUAAUACAUGCAAGUCGAGCGAACAGAUGAGGAGCUUGCUCCUCUCUCGUUAGCGGCGGACGUGUGAGUAACACGUGGAUAACCUACCUAUAAGACUGGGAUAACUUCGGGAAACCGGAGCUAAUACCGGAUAAUAUAUUGAACCGCAUGGUUCAAUAGUGAAAGACGGUUUUGCUGUCACUUAUAGAUGGAUCCGCGCCGCAUUAGCUAGUUGGUAAGGUAACGGCUUACCAAGGCAACGAUGCGUAGCCGACCGGAGAGGGUGAUCGGCCACACUGGAACGGAGACACGGUCCAGACUCCUACGGGAGGCAGCAGUAGGGAAUCGUACGCAAUGGGCGGAAGCAUGACGGAGCAACGCCGCGUGAGUGAUGAAGGUCUUCGGUUCGUAAAACUCUGUUAUGAGGGAAGAACAAAUGUGGAAGUAACUAUGCACGUAGUGACGGUACCUAAUCAGAAAGCCACGGCUAACUACGUG
RNAcentral lists this ribosomal RNA (497 nucleotides) under uncultured bacterium. Its description in RNAcentral is "partial 16S ribosomal RNA". It matches the Rfam family "Bacterial small subunit ribosomal RNA", at positions 28 to 507 of the family's 1533-position model. The record is from RNAcentral.